GCUGGGUGUGGUGGCACACGCCUGUAAUCCCAGCGGCUGGGGAGGCUGAGGCAGGAGGAUUGCAAGUUGAAGGCCAGCCUCAG
RNAcentral lists this small RNA (83 nucleotides) under Marmota monax (woodchuck). Lineage: Eukaryota; Metazoa; Chordata; Mammalia; Rodentia; Sciuridae. The record is from RNAcentral.